AUCUUCAACGAGGAAUUUCUAGAAAGUGAGAGUCAUCAGCUCCUGUUGACUACAUCCUAGCCCUUUGUACACACCACCCAUCAUUCUACCAAUUGAAUGAUUUGGUGAAGUGCUUAGAUCGUGGUGACACAAGUGGUCUCUUGCCCGUGACUUUGCGAAAAGUCUGCUGAACAUUAUAAUUUAGAAGAAGAGAAGUCGUAACAAGGUUUCCGUAGGUGAACAUGCAGAAGGAUCAUUGUUGUUGCAUCCUGGCCCGGCCAGCAGAUGUAUCAGCAAAUGGUACAUUGAGUGAUGCGUACUUGGGCAGCUUGUGCCACCGCGCACGCUGGCAUGCUGCAUGUGGGAGGUUGCGUUGCGUGCCCGGCGGGCUGGCGGCGGAUGUGACCGACCUUUCUUGGUGUGGCCCGUGCCAAGGAUCACAAAUGAGCACGCACCUUUCUAUAUUUAAAGGGUUUACUGGGAUGUGCCUCGGCUGGAUGUUGCCGUUCUGCUGUGCUCCACAUGCUCCACAUGCUCUCACGUGAAAGUGGGGGCCAGCAGUGCACCUCGGCUGGAUGUUGUCGUUCUGCUGCUUGACUUAGGGUGCGGACUGUUACAGGUUGCGCCGGCAGUGUAAACCUAGGCGAAGUAUUCAUUCAUGGAGAUGAUGUCAACAACAAUCAGGGGAUGCAGUACAUGCCGUCUCGGCGUGCCCCUAGUGGGGCACCCACGUGCUCUAGGUAACAGCUAGCGGGCCCCCCAUAUGGUGUGUCUUGAAACACAGACAAGGAGUCCGACAUGCGUGCAAGUCAACAGGUGGAGAAACCCGUGAGGUGCAAGCAAAUUGACUGGUGGGAUCCCCCCCAAGGGGUGCACCAUCGGCCAACCCCGAUCUUUUGAGAAAGGUUCAAGUGGAGCAUGGACAUUGGAACUUGAAAGAUGGUGAACUAUGUCUAAGCAAGUGAAGCCAGAGGAAACUCUGGUGGAGGCUCGCAGUGAUACUAACGUGCAAAUUGUUUGUCUGACUUGGGUAUAGGGGUGAAAGACUAAUCAAACCAUCUAGUACCUAGUUCCCUCUGAAGUUUCCCUCAGGAUAGUUGGAGCUCAUCGUCGAGUUUUAUCAAGUAAAGCCAAUUAUUAGAGGCCUUAAGGACUCGAUGCCCUCGACCUAUUCUCAAACUUUAAAUAGGUAGGACUGGUCCAGCUUCUUCGAUGAGCCACAAGCAAAAUCGAGAGCUCCAAGUGGGCCAUUUUUUGUAAGCAGAAUUGGCGAUGCGGGAUGAACAUGAAGCCGGGUUAUGGUGUCAGACUACACGUUAACCUACAACCCACAAAGGUUGUUGAUCGAUUAAGAUAGUAAGACGGUGGUCAUGGAAGUCAAAAUCUACUAAAGAGUGUAUAACAACUCACUUGUUGAAUCAACUAGCCCCGAAAAUAGAUGGCACUAAAGUGCAUGACCCACACCCGACCAUCAGAGCGAGGGUAGGCCCCGAUGAGUAGGAGGGCAUGGCGGCCACUGCGAAGCCUGAGGCGUAAGCCCAAGUAGAGCAGUCGUCAAUGCAGAUCUCAGUGGUAGUAGCAAAUAUUCAAAUGAGAACUUUGAAGGCCGAAGAGGGGAAAGGUUCCAUGUGAAUGGCACUUGCACAUGGGUUAGUUGAUCUAAGGGUCGGGGAAAGCCCAACAGACAGCACGAUCCAUGCACAAGCUGAAAGGGGAUCGGGUCAAAAUUCUCGAACCGGGACGUGGCACCUGACGGCGACACUAGUGGGGCCCUAGAAAUGGCUCAACUAGAGGUAGGGUCCAACGGCCAGAAGAGCACCGCACAUUGCACAACAUCCAGUGUGCACCCGACGGCCCUUGAAAAUCUAGAGGACCGAGUGCCGCCACACCUUGUUGUACUCAUAACCGCUUCAGGUCUCCAAGUUGAACAGCCUUUGGUUGACAGACGAAUGUAGGCAAGAGAAGUCCACAAAAUGGAUAUGUAACCUCGGGAAAAGGAUUAGCUCUGAGGGUUGGGUCCAGAGGUCCCAGUCCCAAACCCAUUGGCUGCCGACAAACUGCUCGAGCUGCUUGCACAGCAAGAGCGGGUUGCUGCAUGCUGGCUGGGAGCAGCCACUUCUGCCCCACGCCUCAAGCAUGGGUGGGCGGCAAGGGCAGGGGCCUUCCCUAAGCGUUGAAUAGUUAGCUUAGAACUAGCAUGGACAAGAGAAAUCUAAUUUUUUAGUUAAAACGAAGCAUUGUGACAGUCCCUGUAGAUGCUCACGUAAUGUGAUUUCUACCUAGUGCUCUGAAUGUCAAAGUGAAGAGAUUCAACCAAGCGCGGUGAUAAGUUUUCAUUAUCAUGAGUUAAUAAUUAGUAAAUAAUAUAGUUUUAGCCUUAACUCAUGAUAAAUAGACUUAUAUUUGUGUUAAAGUGUGAAAAUAAUUUUUAGUUGAUUAACGAGAAUUUUUGGCUAAUUAUGUGAUUUUCUACGAAUUUAUAUAAUUUUUAUAGUCUUAUUUUUGAAGUAAAUGAAGAAAAAGAAAUAAAAAUAAAAAUAUAGCAAAAUGGGGGGGACUUGCCGACCAAUCGGGCCCACAAGCGAGUCAAAAGCGUAGUUAGAGAGGAGCCACAAGUAGGGGCUCGAGCGACUAGGACUGAUGGGUGCACGUGUGCACCACUCUCUUUCAUAUCACUGGUGGCUAGCCAGUUGUAGGAUAAGGAGUGAUUGUACACACGGGAGAAAGAGACUCAUUACUUGCAAAUAUAAUAUUACUAUAUAUUCAUCUCACACUUCGGCACACAAGCGAUGUAGGACUAAACCCACAUCACACCUUCCUCUGAAAGACUUUUGAUGAUUUUAAUACCAAAAUAUCCCUUAUUUAUAAUAGAGAUAUAUCAUGAUGAUGUCAUUUGAUAAGAGCAUUAAAGUACUCAUUUCAAUCUCUCUCAUGUAGGCGGGCAACCGGCGCGAGUUCGAAUCCUCUUAGAGUCAAAACUCGUAUUUUUAUCUGAUUAUCGUGACUUUUCUAAUCACCAAUAAAAGAUUAAGCUAUAAGAAUCACUAGAUCAUCGGCAAAAAUCUCGUCAACGCGAUUCGUAGAUCAUUGUUACUAAAAUUACUGAACGAUUCGUAAUAAAAAGAUUGUGAACCCAUCGAGUAAAUCAUCUUUAAUUAAUUGACGAACAAGGCGUCGUCGGGGAAGAAGAUGAUCUACCGGGAGACGAUUGUCACCUCCUCAGAGCGUACUGGAUGUAAUGAAGAGCCUCCUCUUGCUGCGCGAACUUGAGGAUAAAGUUUCCUGACACGCGCCCCACCUCCAUCCAGCUUCUCUUUGUCGGGUGACAGUCGCCAAAGAGCCACAAAGUCGCCGUUUUUCCACUCGGCUGGGUGACAGCCGCCAAAGACGAUUUGAUGACCCAUUUCGUUGAUCUCUAGACUUCGCAAGGAGAUCUAGAGAUUGCCAUGUCGUCCUUGUCCAAGGAGAGCCUUCGAGGCUAUGGACACUUCGACGCCGGAACUCUGUUUCUUGCUUCAACUUAAUUUCUGCUUUUUUUUAGUAAUAAUUUGUGUGAUUUAAAUUACCAAGCUAUACUUCAUUCAAUCACGAUUCUUUCGACUUUUACAAAUCUUAAUUUGUUCAAUUAAAUAUAUAUGUAAUCACUUAUAUAAGAAUCAUCGGGCAGAACUUUAUUUUUACUCGAUUCGCAUUCGUCGGGCACUAACGUCAUCCUGACAUCUGCUGGAUGAUGUAUGUACCCUUAUUUCCCUUUUUUGUGAAUUUUAAUAUAUAUUAUUUUUUUUUUGCUAGUAUAAAAUUCAUAGAAAAUCGUAUUCUUUGAGAAUUUUUUUGAAUAAUUACCUGAUAUUAUAUUAUAUCCCUAUGAUCGACUUGAAAAAUUACCAUUAUUUGUGGAAGUUUUUAUUGAUUAUAAUUGAUAUAUUUAUUCAGAAAUACUUCUAAAUAUCUAAAAAUUAAUAUUUUCUAGUUUAUAAAUUUUAAAUUUAUAUGAUUUACUAUACAACGACUAAGUCACGUCACACAGGUAAAUGAUGGGAGUAACUAUGACUCUCUUAUGGUAGUCAAAUGCCUCGUCAUCUAAUUAGUGACGCAUAUGAAUGGAUUAAUGAGAUUUCCACUGUCGCUAUCUAAAAUGCUAAAGCAUAUGACUAUUAACAUGUGUAAGCACAUGACUACUAGUAGGAUGAACUUAUUUCCUAAAAGCACAAAAACCAUUUGUGGUUUAGGGUUCUUUCUCUUUUCCAAUGUUCUAUCUAAAUCUAGCAACCUCUCCAUUAUCUUCCUCUUAUUUUGUUAUCUUGAUGGGUUGGUUUUAGGUUGU
This 4303-nucleotide ribosomal RNA is filed under the name Spirodela intermedia. Its description in RNAcentral is "5". The stretch from base 1 to 2512 matches the Rfam family "Eukaryotic large subunit ribosomal RNA", at positions 437 to 3401 of the family's 3401-position model. The record is from RNAcentral. Lineage: Eukaryota; Viridiplantae; Streptophyta; Magnoliopsida; Alismatales; Araceae.